Molecule: ribosomal RNA, 460 nt
Filed under: uncultured bacterium
Lineage: Bacteria
Description: partial 16S ribosomal RNA
Rfam family: Bacterial small subunit ribosomal RNA
Source: RNAcentral
CCUACGGGAGGCAGCAGUGAGGAAUAUUGGUCAAUGGACGAGAGUCUGAACCAGCCAAGGAGCGUGAAGGAUGACUGACCUAUGGGUUGUAAACUUCUUUUAUAUGGGAAUAAAAUGUUCCACGUGUGGGAUUUUGUAUGUACCAUAUGAAUAAGGAUCGGCUAAAUCCGUGCCAGCAGCCGCGGUAAUACGGAGUAUCCGAACGUUAUCCGGAUUUAUUGGGUUUAAAAGGAGCGUAGGUGGAUUGUUAAGUCAGUUGUGAAAGUUUGCGGCUCAACCGUAAAAUUGCAGUUGAAACUGGCAGUCGUGAGUACAGUAGAGGUGGGCGGAAUUCGUGGUGUAGCGGUGAAAUGCUGAGAUAUCACGAAGAACUCCGAUUGCGAAGGCAGUUCACUGGACUGCAACUGACACUGAGGCUCGAAAGUGUGGGUAUCAAACAGGAUUAGAUACCCUAGUAGUC